Molecule: ribosomal RNA, 513 nt
Filed under: Triticum aestivum (bread wheat)
Lineage: Eukaryota; Viridiplantae; Streptophyta; Magnoliopsida; Poales; Poaceae
Description: partial small subunit ribosomal RNA
Source: RNAcentral
UUCCACGGCGCAUCUCCACGCGUGCAGCAGCGACCCCGGGAGGAGCUCAAGCCGCAACGAUGGUCCACCGCGCCGGCGCCGUCGUCGUGGAGGAGCAGCGGCGGCCAACGGCAGAUCGGCGUGUCAUGGGAGCAGACACGGCGGCUGUCACGGGCAGAGCAGAGCGAAGUUGGCAUGGCGGCUAGGCGGCUGUCCGGACUGGAUCCCGCCAUCACCACCAGCCCGCCUCGUUUGUCCGUGUCCAUCUCGGCGAAACCAAGGGUCUGCCUCGUGUCCUGCGAGGUGACACUCCACCGCCACCGCUCUGCUGCUUCCGCCCUACACUUCGCUCCCUCCGGUGCCAUCCUCACCUCCGACAAAAAGGACCUCUUGGACGUCAUUGCACAUGCUGGCCUCUUCCGACCCCGUGGCCACCGUGAUCAGGUAAUUGAUUUUGUGUUCCUGGAUUCGGGUAAGAAGCUAGUGACCUGCUCCAAGGACAAGGUUAUCUGGGUUUGGGACCUCGACACAUAA